Molecule: unclassified non-coding RNA, 329 nt
Filed under: soil metagenome
Description: partial contains 5.8S ribosomal RNA, internal transcribed spacer 2, and large subunit ribosomal RNA
Rfam family: 5.8S ribosomal RNA (bases 1-120)
Source: RNAcentral
GAUGAAGAACGUAGCGAAAUGCGAUAAGUAAUGUGAAUUGCAGAAUUCAGUGAUUCAUCGAAUCUUUGAACGCACAUUGCGCCCCCUGGUAUUCCGGGGGGCAUGCCUGUCCGAGCGUCAUUACAACCCUCAAGCUCAGCUUGGUGUUGGGCCCCGCCGCCCCGGCGGGCCCUAAAGUCAGUGGCGGUGCCGUCCGGCUCCGAGCGUAGUAAUUCUUCUCGCUCUGGAGGUCCGGUCGUGUGCUCGCCAGCAACCCCCAAUUUUUUUCAGGUUGACCUCGGAUCAGGUAGGGAUACCCGCUGAACUUAAGCAUAUCAAUAAGCGGAGGA